UGAAGCUCGGACAUUUGGUA
Molecule: microRNA, 20 nt
Filed under: Drosophila pseudoobscura pseudoobscura
Lineage: Eukaryota; Metazoa; Arthropoda; Insecta; Diptera; Drosophilidae
Description: mir-2541-RB
Source: RNAcentral